CAAACAAGGAACAAAAAAAAAAAAAAAAAAAAAAAAGGAAGAGCUAUCCUAAAGGCUGACUAUGAGUCAGCAAGUCUCCUUAAAGUCUAUUUAAAGGUGAGAACCUGGGGUUAGGAAAAAAAUUAAAUAAGCUGACACAUUUACUUCUCCUAAAUGGUGGAGAUGACAGACUCCUGUGACUUUCCUACACAGCUGGACAUGCAAGCUGGUGAUUUUGUUGCUAUUGUGAAAACAUCCCUGAGAUCAAACGUGACAAAGUUGGGAGAAUUUUCCUGAGAGCCUCAAGCACACUAUGUGACUGAGAUGAUCAAUGCCCUUCAUUGCAUCCCUCAAGAGAUGAUCCACCUUAGCCAAACACUCCGGAUGGACCCCCAGCCUCUUCUCUGAGUCAUCGUGCACUCCCCAGCAUACUGUUGCUUACUAGUUGAGUCAUUUGGAUGGAUGCUGACAGUUGGCUCCAUCUUAGGCAGAGAUAAGAAGUGAUGAGCAACUGAUCAAGCACAGACUCCAACCGGGCAGAACAAAGAAGCCUUUGUGUGGUGUGCAUAUUUUCCCCAGAAAACUGUGCAGACUUAAG
This 577-nucleotide long non-coding RNA is filed under the name Cricetulus griseus (Chinese hamster). Its description in RNAcentral is "lncRNA (ENSCGRG00000025832.1)". The record is from RNAcentral. Lineage: Eukaryota; Metazoa; Chordata; Mammalia; Rodentia; Cricetidae.